RNAcentral lists this ribosomal RNA (253 nucleotides) under uncultured bacterium. RNAcentral describes it as "partial 16S ribosomal RNA". It matches the Rfam family "Bacterial small subunit ribosomal RNA", at positions 524 to 776 of the family's 1533-position model. The record is from RNAcentral.
UACGUAGGGUCCGAGCGUUGUCCGGAAUUAUUGGGCGUAAAGGGCUCGUAGGCGGUUUGUCACGUCGGGCGUGAAAACUCAGGGCUCAACCCUGAGCGUGCGUUCGAUACGGGCAGACUAGAGGUAUGCAGGGGAGAACGGAAUUCCUGGUGUAGCGGUGGAAUGCGCAGAUAUCAGGAGGAACACCGGUGGCGAAGGCGGGUCUCUGGACAGUUCCUGACACUGAGGCACGAAGGCCAGGGGAGCAAACGGG